RNAcentral lists this ribosomal RNA (388 nucleotides) under uncultured bacterium. RNAcentral describes it as "bacterial SSU rRNA". It matches the Rfam family "Bacterial small subunit ribosomal RNA", at positions 30 to 418 of the family's 1533-position model. The record is from RNAcentral.
AUUGAACGCUGGCGGCAUGCCUUACACAUGCAAGUCGAACGGCAGCACGGGAGCUUGCUCCUGGUGGCGAGUGGCGAACGGGUGAGUAAUACAUCGGAACGUACCCUGAAGUGGGGGAUAACGUAGCGAAAGUUACGCUAAUACCGCAUAUUCUGUGAGCAGGAAAGAGGGGGAUCGCAAGACCUCUUGCUUUAGGAGCGGCCGAUGUCGGAUUAGCUAGUUGGUGAGGUAAAAGGCUCACCAAGGCGACGAUCCGUAGCGGGUCUGAGAGGAUGAUCCGCCACACUGGGACUGAGACACGGCCCAGACUCCUACGGGAGGCAGCAUGGGGAAUUUUGGACAAUGGCGCAGCCUGAUCCAGCCAUGCCGCGUGAGUGAAGAAGGCCUC